AAGACAUCUCGUUUCUUCUUCCUCUCCUCCGUUUCCUUACUCAGCGCUUUGGAAUAUACUCGUCUUCCUCGCUACCUCUAUCUCUUCUUCUCUUCUCUCUCUUGUGUACUCUCUCUCUCUCUCUCUCUCUCUCUCUCUAUCUCUCAAAGAUCACCACUUUUAAUGGUCGCUGGCUCUCUUUGCGGAUCACCGCCUCUCGAGCAUGAUUACAUAGGUCUCUCGGAGCUCCACUGCCCCGCCGCCGCCGCCGGCAUUGGCGGCGGCGGAGCCGAGGACGGGGCUCUCAACCUGAAGGAUACGGAGCUGAGGCUGGGCCUCCCUGGGUCGGAGCCCGCUGAACGGAAGGACGAGGUUGGCCUCACCCUGGGGCGCCUCCCUAAGGUCUUCGUCUCCGGCGCCAAGAGGGGGUUCUCUGACGCCAUCGACGGGGCGGGGAAGUGGGGCCUCGCUGCCGGAGGGGGCGGAUCCGAGGUGGAGGGCGGGAAAGGUGGCGCCUUGUUCUCGCCGAGAGGGGAGAACGGUGGCGGGGGGCUGCUGCCCGGGCACGGCAACGCCGGCAAGGAUGUGGUGGCGAAGGCAGCCGGGCAAGAGCGGAAGGCCGCCGCCGCCGCACAGGUUGGGAAUUCUGCUGGUAGUGAUCGUGGCGUCGCGCCUGCUGCCAAGGCACAGGUGGUAGGUUGGCCACCGAUCCGCAGCUACCGUAAGAACACUAUGGCAACAAAUCCAUCAAAGAACAAGGAAGAUGCCGAUGGAAAACAAGGUCUAGGAUGUCUUUACGUCAAGGUCAGCAUGGAUGGAGCACCGUACCUUAGGAAAGUUGACCUGAAGACGUACAACAAUUAUAACGAGUUCUCCGUGGCACUCGAGAAGAUGUUCAGUGGCUUCACCAUCGGCCAGUGCGGUUCUCAUGCAAUACCAAGCCGAGAUGGGUUAUCCGAGAGCAGGUUGAUGGAUCUUCUGAGUGGUUCCGAAUAUGUGCUCACUUGUGAAGACAAAGAUGGUGACUGGAUGCUUGUCGGAGAUGUGCCAUGGGAGAUGUUCAUCGACUCUUGCAGGAGGCUGAGGAUAAUGAAGGGUUCAGAUGCAAUUGGACUUGAUACUGCUACAAGGUGAAGCUCCACUACCUGUGUUCGAGUUUUGAUCAGAAAAUGCGUCUACUUAUUGGAAGUAAAACCUAUGCUCCAAGGGCCAGGGAGAAAUGCAAGAACCGUAACUAGGGGCCAUCGCCGACCCUUCUAUGAAAUCAAACAUGAAUCAGGUGCCUCCGUAGGGGCCUCCGAAAUGUUUAACAAGGCCACCGGCAACCGUCAUAUAUCUAUCAUAUUGCAUAGUUUGCUACUAAGACUCUGUUAGCUAAGAUUCCCUAGGAUCAUAUAAGCUAUUUAUGAUUGUGAAUUUGGUGUUUGUAUGUCUGUCUUGCUAUUGUUGUAUGUCUGAACAUUUGGCUUGCUGUUUGCAACUGUUAUAAUUUAAGUGUCCUAUUUGAGACUGCUGUUUACAA
Molecule: RNA transcript, 1501 nt
Organism: Musa acuminata AAA Group (dessert banana)
Lineage: Eukaryota; Viridiplantae; Streptophyta; Magnoliopsida; Zingiberales; Musaceae
Gene name: auxin-responsive protein IAA17-like
Exons: 6
Source: RefSeq, a predicted model, not a curated record